CCCGCUGAACUUAAGCAUAUCAAUAAGCGGAGGAAAAGAAACUAACAAGGAUUCCCCUAGUAACUGCGAGUGAAGCGGGAAAAGCUCAAAUUUAAAAUCUGGCAGUGCAUUUUUGCUUGCUGUCCGAGUUGUAAUCUAGAGAAGUGCUAUCCGCGCUGGACCGUGUACAAGUCUCCUGGAAUGGAGCCUCAUAGAGGGUGAGAAUCCCGUCUCUGACAUGGACUACCAGGGCUUUUGUGAUGCGCUCUCGAAGAGUCGAGUUGUUUGGGAAUGCAGCUCAAAAUGGGUGGUAAAUUCCAUCUAAAGCUAAGUAUUGGCGAGAGACCGAUAGCGAACAAGUACCGUGAGGGAAAGAUGAAAAGAACUUUGAAAAGAGAGUUAAACAGUACGUGAAAUUGUUGAAAGGGAAACGCUUGAAGUCAGUCACGUUGGCCGGGGAUCAACCUCGCAUUUACUUGCUGGGCGCACUUUCCGGUUGACGGGUCAGCAUCAAUUUUGACUGCUGGACAAAGGUAAAGGGAAUGUGGCAUCUUCGGAUGUGUUAUAGCCCUUGAUCGCAUACAGCAGUUGGGAUUGAGGAACUCAGCACGCCUUUAAUGGCCGGGUUUGUAUAACCAAGUUACGUGCUUAGGAUGCUGGCAUAAUGGCUUUAAUCGACCCGUCUUGAAACACGG
RNAcentral lists this ribosomal RNA (674 nucleotides) under uncultured fungus. RNAcentral describes it as "eukaryotic LSU rRNA". It matches the Rfam family "Eukaryotic large subunit ribosomal RNA", at positions 24 to 664 of the family's 3401-position model. Lineage: Eukaryota; Fungi. The record is from RNAcentral.